AGAGUUACUGCUGUAGAUUCUUAAACAGAAGACAGGAGGGUAUGUGAGGAGGGUACGAGCAGGCACCUCCUAGGAGCUGAACACGGAGGACCAGAGGCUCAACCCCUAACCCUGCUCUCUCAGGCAUCACAAAGUCUACCUGGAAACAGAGCAAGCACCUCCCAAGUUAGCCUGCAGAGAGUGGUCACAUGACCAGGAGCUGGCCAAUCAGUACAGCCCAGAGAUUGGCUAAGGUCUGGGCAAGUGACCAGUGAGGUCUCAUGGGUUGGUCUUAGGGGUAGAACCUUGGGGGAGGAGAAGCUCCGUGACUGUUGGGCUGCUGAGACAGUUGGUGCCCACGGCGCCAUCUUGAAGGGAAAAUCCACUUGAGAGGGAGUAGGCACAGCCAGGAGGUCGGGGCAGGCAACUCCUGGGGACAUCGUCCAGCACCCAGGCAUGCCAGAGAUCUUUCCAGAAUGCGCAGAGAGCACAGUGUGGAACAGGAUGUGUCCGUCUUCCCUUCCUCACUUGCCUUGGCUCCCAGCUCGUGGGCUCUCUCCUCUGCAUCCUGGCUCCGUGGCUGCUAUAGGAAGAACCAAGCUGGAGGAAGUCGGCGGCUCCAUUCCCAAAGGCACAGAGGCCACGGGCCCAGGAGGAUGGAGACCCCGGCCUGCUCCACUCGCUGCUGGGCCCUGGUGUUUGGAUCUGGCUGGCAGCAGCAGGGCCUCCGUGAGCAAGGGCGGCAGACCACAAAGACCACAUCUCAGGUGGAGCCAGCAGCAUCCAGACCCACCCGGCCGCACCUUGAAGGGGAGUGUUUUCCUGGACCAUUUGGAAGAGGUCCUCGUGGACGCCUGGUAUUUGGUUCACUACUGGCUCUCUGCAAUCGAGUUUCUGUCUUGUAUCUGUUUUGCCCAUCUUUUCCUAUGUUCUUUUUGCUAGUUUUUACUUAUUCUGCUUUAGUGUACAUUGUAAUAAACUGAUGGAUUCAGGACCUGUUACCUCACUCGGCUUCUCAUUGGGUUAAAGGAUAAAAGGCCUCACCCUUCUUGGAACAGCUAGAAUCCUUGAGGUUAAAACAGUCUCUGGGGAUUGGGGAAACCAGACUGUCCUGGCUGGGCCAGUGUGACAGAGGGUUGGGGGGGAGCAGCUGCCAUCUUGGAAGACAGAGAAGCACUGCCCGGAGCUCAGAUCCCAGUGUGACCCGGGAGGGAGCAGGCCUGGGAGGGCUCCAGGGGCCGAGGGGACUGACUCCUCCCUGAGCAGGCAGCCCUCACGCACUUCCCCUGGGCAGUCCCCGUCACCUCAGACUGCUCCUCCUUGCUCGUUGCUUGUCCGGUAAGACGGAGGUUAGGGUCCAGACGCUCAGGACUGAGAAGGACUCUUGCUCCUGCCUCUGAGGGCCCACUGGAAUAGCGCAAGGUGUCUCCUUCCCUUGUUCCUCUAUGCAGAAAUGAUACAGAGGAAUAUACAGCUUGCCGCUUGUUACCCCAAAAGUGGAUGAGGUUAGGCAUGACCCUGUGCCAUGCUUCGUUCACCUAAUGAUUUGUUCUGGAACUUUCAGCACACCAAGAGCACCCUCUGUUUCCCUCCACAGCAAAGCUGCAGUCUGCAGGGCAUGUGCCACAGUGCCCCCUUCAGGCUGCUUCCUAGCACGGGGCGGCCCCAGGGAGCCCCUCUGCCACAUCCCCCACCCCCCAUCCCCCCAGCCUUCCUGGUCCCCUGGUACCUACCUUGAGGCCUUCCAGGUACAGCCUCCCAGGCCAAGGCACUGAUGGCCCAGGGUUCUGGCUCAGAGACGCCCCUCCCCUUGGCCCAGUCAGUGUUCCCGGUGAAGACUCCGCUACUCAACCACCCUCUUUUCCAUGGGUGGGCUGGGAGGGCAGGGGUCCCAGGCUGCACCACUGUGAGGGUGAUCCGCCUUCUGGUUCCUGCCACACAAAAACCCACCAGUGACACUCAGAGGUUCCACCAUCUCAGAGA
Oryctolagus cuniculus (rabbit) is the source of this 1962-nucleotide long non-coding RNA. NCBI's taxonomy places the organism in Eukaryota, Metazoa, Chordata, Mammalia, Lagomorpha, Leporidae. The record is from Ensembl.